This is a small nucleolar RNA of Gymnodraco acuticeps, 75 nucleotides long. RefSeq annotates it as small nucleolar RNA SNORD83. Lineage: Eukaryota; Metazoa; Chordata; Actinopteri; Perciformes; Bathydraconidae. The record is from RefSeq and is a predicted model, not a curated record. The transcript has a single exon.
GCCACAUGAUGACAUAUAGAUGCCGCAGCCUCCGGGCCGUGAGGACCUCUCAUCUAUCACCCUAGUCUGAUGGCU